RNAcentral lists this transfer RNA (77 nucleotides) under Bacillus thuringiensis. RNAcentral's name for it is "tRNA-Met". It matches the Rfam family "tRNA". Rfam says of the family: Transfer RNA (tRNA) molecules are approximately 80 nucleotides in length. Their secondary structure includes four short double-helical elements and three loops (D, anti-codon, and T loops). Further hydrogen bonds mediate the characteristic L-shaped molecular structure. tRNAs have two regions of fundamental functional importance: the anti-codon, which is responsible for specific mRNA codon recognition, and the 3' end, to which the tRNAs corresponding amino acid is attached (by aminoacyl-tRNA synthetases). tRNAs cope with the degeneracy of the genetic code in two manners: having more than one tRNA (with a specific anti-codon) for a particular amino acid; and 'wobble' base-pairing, i.e. permitting non-standard base-pairing at the 3rd anti-codon position. The record is from RNAcentral. RNAcentral also lists the same sequence under 1 other name. Lineage: Bacteria; Bacillati; Bacillota; Bacilli; Caryophanales; Bacillaceae.
GGACCUUUAGCUCAGUUGGUAAGGGCAGAUGGCUCAUAACUAUCCGGUCGUGGGUUCAAAUUCUACAAGGUCCAUCA